Long non-coding RNA from Gasterosteus aculeatus aculeatus (three-spined stickleback), 3851 nucleotides. NCBI's taxonomy places the organism in Eukaryota, Metazoa, Chordata, Actinopteri, Perciformes, Gasterosteidae. The record is from Ensembl.
CCCUUCUGACAUCUGGACCAAGUCUUGCUUGUCUGCCUCCUACCAAUUCCAGAAGUCCCUCUGUCUGACCAUCCUCACAAAAUGAAUCAAUAUAACACACAAACAAAACUCGUUUUGAGAAUCGCCUGAAACCAAAUCACUAACAGCCCUAUAAGCCCUAUAAUGGAGAUACCAGACCCAAACACAUCUACGUGAUAGGCAAGUGUGUGGAAAGAUAAACUACUCUAGAGGAGGCUUUAGCGCAGGCCUCACAACGGAGAAACGACAAGAGCCAAAAUCUGGAUUUUGGUAGCCGACUCGCACCAUCAACCAAUAGAGUGUCAGCUUCCUCAGCCACUCAGAAGCCUAAAUAAGUAGAGCGUUAAUAGUAGAUCUUUGAUGAUCCAUAUUAGCAGAUAAGUUUGUCUACGUCAUUAAAUCAAAAUCAAAUGACGUUAAAAAAGUAAAGUCUCAUAUUUAAUCACAUAGAAUAAUGUUUAAUUGAAUAUAGGCCUAAAGUAACAGACUACAACCAGUUAGCUCUAGAAAUCCCACUAGAGACAGUUUCUUUAAGCCAGUUCUCACUGCUGAUAACAACACAUACUCUGUUACAAACAUGUUUUGAGUUUAAAAUCGGUCGUCUCAGGAGAUGAUAGAGACCAAACCAAAGAAAUGUACUUAAAUUUGACUUAUCAGUGCAAACACAUAAGAAAACGGGAGCCAUCCUCCUCAUAAUUCUUAACUGUUUGUAAAUCUACUCGCUUCAUGUUUGGAUGGUUUUAAUGGUUUAAUGUGAAGCACUUUGACUUGCCUUGUUGUUUAAAUGUGCUAUACAAAUAAUAUUGCCUUGCCUUGUCUCAUAUUUAGGUCAGUUUAGCUUUAAGGAUUGGGACCCAUGGUGACCUCAACAAUUUGCAUGAAUUCCCAUUAUUGAAGAAAAGCAUUGCCUAAUCACACAUUUAUCUCUCAGUUAUGGAAUCCUACAGUUCUUUGCCUGCUGAUUGACUUUUUGAUGGAUUAACAGAGCUAUACUAGGUGAUUGACAUUAAAUAUUUUUAAAAAUGUCACUCUGAGACUAAAAAGGCAUUUUCAGUUGGACAAGAAGUAUAUUCCAUUCAAACCCAUUGGCAGAGCUCAUAUGUGUCAUCCUUCUUAAACGUCAUCUCUGGUUAUUCAUUAUUAAAGUUCUUUUUAAACAUGUGCUCCACAGAGCUGGGCAACACAAUAUUGUGUUAGUUAUGAACAUGGUAUUAUAUAUGCUUUAAGUUAUAUAACUAUAUAUUAAGCAGUUUUCUCUUUUUACUAAAGAACAAAGGGAUCAAACCAGACAAAGGACAACCAGAAAUACAAUCUCUUAUUCCUGAAUACUUCUCCCUUAUCAAUAGCAGGAUGACGCUUUACCACUGACAGUUUUACAUGGUUGAGUCCCCUUCAAUCAUUCUCUGGGUCAACAAUAAACAACAUUCUGCAUCAUAGUAAUGAUAGAUGCUCUUUUAUGGAUAGUAUUCAAGGCUACUGUGUUACGGGAGACAGUUAGAGAUUUAUUCAGGGAGUGGGGGGGAGGGUAGGAUACCAGGAAGCGAGGAAGGAGGCUCCGUAUCGGGGUGCGUGAUCCGAGGGAAGGGGGUCUCGUGAAGAGGCUCGGGGGUGGGCUGCCGGCUGGUUCGGUGGAAGGCUGAGCAGGAUACUGAUUGCAGGCAUACGUAUCACGUCGUCGGGGGGCAAUCAUCUGACACAGGAGCCCAGGAGAGAGACCAGAUUGCUUAAUCAGCCACAGGUGAGAAUGGUGGGAGAGCUCUGCUCAGCCGUCCCGCCCAGCCUGAAAACUAAACAAGAAAACCAGCCAGCACCCAGGAUCAAAUAUAUAUGAAUCAAUGAAGGCAAAAAAUCAUAAUCACCACAUACUGGUUGGUCAGCCCCUCUGGUCUGUGACUCUAGUCUGACUUGACUACAGUCAUGUGAUGUGAUUAUCUUCCCCAGCAGCUAAAGCCAAUGACUCAUCGGUAUUUAUCCUACACUGCCCCAGAGGCUCCCUGUCCUCGAAAGGCUCCGUGAUAGGCCAGGGCCACUCUUCAGCCACGUUCUCGCAGCCAAUGCUCAGCGAAUUGUCCUGUCACUCUAAUCAUGUGGCCAUUCACUGAGCGACUGCACAGAAAGAACACAAACAUGCGUGUAACUGGGCAAGCCAAUAGCUGAGUGGUUAGGGCGCAAGCCACAUGGUCACUGAUUCCCUGAGUCCCAACUACAUUCCCAACUAUCCCGACUGCUUGCUGCAUGUCAUUCCCUCAUUGCUUCUCCUCACUCUUUCCACAGUCCCUCGCGAUUAAAGGCAUCAAAUGCCCCCAAAAAAUAUCUACAAAGUGAGCUUAACACCACGAAGGAAAGCUUACUUUGAAAGUACUUAUACCCGGGGCUUGACGUUGGCACUCGCCAAAUGUGGGUAGAAUUUGGCUGUGGCGGUUAAAGCACCCACUUGCCACUGGUGGGUUCAAUUCUAUUUUUGGAAUGGUUUUGCGUUUGAGAUUGUAUGUCCAUUCAAGGGUGCUUGAGGGGUGAAGAAGGUCAUUAAUGUGUCAUGAGUGCAUCAUCCACUAACCCAGAAUGCUCGGUCACUUUGGUGACAGCGGUGGUUCAUGUGAACCGACUACGGACCUUGACGACGUAAGUUCACACUUCCUUAGCUUAGCUGUGUCAGUUUAGCUAGCAGGCUGAACCCGCUUCAGAGAGCUGAGCAAUGCGGACCCAAAAUGUGCGUGGAGAUGAAGACCCGUUGAACAGCUCGGGGCUGUUCGGCAGGCGGUCGGCGAGCAGUUUACACGCCACACCUUAGGAAGGACACAAACACCAAGUUGUCCUGCUAACGUUGUAUCUUACACGUAUCGUUUCCCCUCUCGGCCACCGCUCCUCGUCACUAAACAACAUAGACACGCAAGCACACGAGACAGGUGGAGGCUUUGGAUGUGAGGAGACCUGAGCGGUGCAAGGCGGGGAUGAGCAGCAGGUGUAGGAAAACCCAGAUGGCAGACGAGAAAGACAAAAACUGGUGAUGAAAAUGAAGAGACAAAGAAAAUAGGUAACAGGUAACAGGUAACUGUACAUAUACAUUUUAUGUAGUCCUGAUUUGGGUGUUUACAAUGGUCAUUUACAUUUGAAAGGAUUGUAAAUCUAGUUCUUUAAGUAAAUUGUAACAAAGUCAAGUUUAAUCAAAUGAAACUAAAUUUCCCAACAACAUUGUGGCUAAUACAAUCAAUGAGUGGCUAGUACCUUUGGAAAACCAUGAGCCACAGUGGCUGGUGAGCAAAAAUGUUAAUGUCAAGCCCCGGUUAUACCUUACGUGCCGGGAGAACUCCAUGGUCCAACUUAAUAUUCAAACAAACGUUAACGCUACAGGGCUGUAUUUCCCUCAUUGCUAUGUAUGAUCCCACCGAGCAAAACAAAGGACACAUCUGUGAUCUCUUCCUGACUGCUAAUGCUGCACUGUGUGUCUGUGUGGGCAGAAGUCAUGUACUGCGGGCUGAUGGUAGCGUGUUGGCAGCGCUCCAUGUGAAUGGAGGAUGAGCGACGCCUCACCGCGCUACAAUAUUGAUCCGGCGAGCUGAUUCACCCACGGCCUUGGCUGAGCCAGGACAACACACGCAGAAGAGUGUGGAGUCACUACAUGUGUGCCAGCGAGUUCAGUGUCACUUUCAGAGUGUGUACAUUAACAUCAGCAUUUCACACAUUAUUCACUCACUUUGCUGCUCGGGCACUACCAAAUUUGGUACAGAACCAGAAUCGAGUCCACAAGAUAACUCCAACAUCAAACAUCACGAAUCACAUUACCUUUGACGUUUUGACCAAAAUUAUGAAAUGAAUUUGUCUUUUUUUAGACG